CAGCAGCCGCGGUAAUACGUAGGUGGCAAGCGUUGUCCGGAAUUAUUGGGCGUAAAGGGCUCGCAGGCGGUUUCUUAAGUCUGAUGUGAGAGCCCCCGGCUCAACCGGGGAGGGUCAUUGGAAACUGGGAAACUUGAGUGCAGAAGAGGAGAGUGGAAUUCCACGUGUAGCGGUGAAAUGCGUAGAGAUGUGGAGGAACACCAGUGGCGAAGGCGACUCUCUGGUCUGUAACUGACGCUGAGGAGCGAAAGCGUGGGGAGCGAACAGGAUUAGAUACCCGUGUAGUCCCUGUCUCUUAUAA
Molecule: ribosomal RNA, 301 nt
Filed under: uncultured bacterium
Lineage: Bacteria
Description: partial 16S ribosomal RNA
Rfam family: Bacterial small subunit ribosomal RNA
Source: RNAcentral